CCUUUUGGACUCUCUAUGAUUGGCAUGGACUGGGGGGCGACCUCAGCAUCUUAAUCAUAGACAGUUUAACAAGUACAAGUAGUGAGAGGAGUUGAGUGAAUCAAGAACGAAGUAUAAGGGAUCAAAAAUGAGAGCCAGACUUGGUGUUGCCAAGUUCUCGACUGAUGGCCUUGGUUGAGAUUCUCAAAGCUACAAGUUGGAAGGAUGGACUGGGGGAGACAAGAGGUCUCUGGCAGGGCGGUUGAGGACUAGACCAGGCCCCUUUGGACAGGAGCAAGGCCUCAGAGGUAGGCGGACGGUGCUGUCAGAGGCUGAGGUCUCGAUGUGAAGUCAGAGUUGAGAGCUGGCAGGCUUGGGUCUGUACCGGUGAGCAUACUAGGAGCUGCAAAGACCAAGUAUGAGUGCUGGUGAGCCUAAGUCUGCCUGCUCUCGUGUGUGUCCUUCCAAGAGCGACAGGCUUAUAGGGGCUGUUCUGACAUACUGUC
This 485-nucleotide unclassified non-coding RNA is filed under the name Trichosporon asahii. Lineage: Eukaryota; Fungi; Basidiomycota; Tremellomycetes; Trichosporonales; Trichosporonaceae. The record is from RNAcentral.